UACGAAGGGGGCUAGCGUUGUUCGGAAUUACUGGGCGUAAAGCGCACGUAGGCGGAUAUUUAAGUCAGGGGUGAAAUCCCAGAGCUCAACUCUGGAACUGCCUUUGAUACUGGGUAUCUUGAGUAUGGAAGAGGUGAGUGGAAUUCCGAGUGUAGAGGUGAAAUUCGUAGAUAUUCGGAGGAACACCAGUGGCGAAGGCGGCUCACUGGACUGGUAUUGACGCUGAGGUGCGAAAGCGUGGGGAGCAAACAGG
RNAcentral lists this ribosomal RNA (253 nucleotides) under uncultured bacterium. RNAcentral describes it as "partial 16S ribosomal RNA". It matches the Rfam family "Bacterial small subunit ribosomal RNA", at positions 524 to 776 of the family's 1533-position model. The record is from RNAcentral.